GAGGGGAGGAGAGAGAGAGAGAGAGAGAGAGGCUGCUGGCUGGUACAGAGAGGGAGAGUGCCUGGGGGCUGUCGAACUGCAGACCUCUUUGACUCUCCCCUCCGUGGCGUAUUGGUGACCCACCAAAACGUGAGCCAUGACCUGCCCGGGUCACCGCGGAGUUACUGGGGCAGCUGGUGAAGACGGUCACCAACCACACCCUACAGAUCUACCCAGAUGAGGAUCACAUCUUCAAGCUAAAGCGAAAUCACAGGCACCUUGAGAGAACCAUCGUCAGCUUCCUUCGGGGCUGCUUCCAGGGCGACCAGGGCAGGAGCCCGUGAGCCCACCCCACCCCGCCUCCCCCCAGGGGUGGGGGUGGGGAGCCGAGGGUAGGUGUGCUGAGGGCGACGGAUGCCCUCCACCAGCCUCCCUGCCCCCGCAGAGAGGUGCCCGCCAGCAACCAGGAGGCACCAAGGGGCUUUACCUCUCCCCCUUCCCUCCCUCACUCCCUCCCUCCCAGACACAGGGGUGGUUCGGCCAUGGGGAACCCUGGGAGGGGGAUGUUGGUGGGCACGGACCAGCCUCGCGUGGGGGUUGAGGAGUGUUUCCUCACGGUGAGGGCACUGAGGUCCGGGGGUUACACACGCACGGUUCAACAAGACUCCAUGUUGGAAAAGAACCGGCUCCCCUGACCCCAGCAUAGCCUCUCCCCACCCCCCACAGCAACCAGCCAUGACCCAUCAUCAACCACUCACCUCCUGAUUGUCAAUUCCAUUUCACUGCUCGAGACUGAUUUCUGAUUCCUCCACCAACUGCUCGAGACUGAUUUCUGAUUAUUCCACCAACUGCUCGAGACUGAUUUCUGAUUCCUCCAUCAACUGCUCGAGACUGAUUAUUCCAUCAACUGCUCGAGACUGAUUUCUGAUUCCUCCGCCAACUGCUCGGGACUGAUUUCUGAUUAUUCCAUCAACUGCUCGAGACUGAUUUCUGAAUAUUCCAUCAACUGCUCAAGACUGAUUUCUGAUUAUUCCAACUGGUCGAGACUGAUUUCUGAAUACUCCACCAACUGCUCGAGACUGAUUUCUGAUUCUUCUCCCUCUGACUGGAUUGUCCGAAUCUGAUUUUGACUAUUCUGUUGUUAAUCAAUUGAUUGAGCCUGAUUAUUGAUUAGUUUCUCUCUGACAAUUGCCCGAGUCUGAUUGUGAUCGAUCCAACGCUAAUCAAUUUCUUGGGUUGGAUUUAUGAUUAUUCUAUCUCUGAAUGAUUGGAUUUGAUUUAUUACUGUCAUGUGUACCGCGCUACAGUGAGAAGUGUUGUUGUACAUGUUUACAGUGAGAUGGUACUGUGCAAGGACAUGAGAGUUCUGGAACAGAGUGUAGGAAACAAUGUUUGCUGAGCAUUUGCGAGACAAUGAUUGCU
This is a long non-coding RNA of Hemiscyllium ocellatum (epaulette shark), 1401 nucleotides long. RefSeq lists it as uncharacterized. The record is from RefSeq and is a predicted model, not a curated record. Lineage: Eukaryota; Metazoa; Chordata; Chondrichthyes; Orectolobiformes; Hemiscylliidae. The transcript is spliced from 3 exons.